UGUCAAACCAAACGAGUGC
This 19-nucleotide non-coding RNA is filed under the name Arabidopsis thaliana (thale cress). Lineage: Eukaryota; Viridiplantae; Streptophyta; Magnoliopsida; Brassicales; Brassicaceae. The record is from RNAcentral.